Molecule: ribosomal RNA, 253 nt
Filed under: uncultured bacterium
Lineage: Bacteria
Description: partial 16S ribosomal RNA
Rfam family: Bacterial small subunit ribosomal RNA
Source: RNAcentral
UACAGAGGGGGCAAGCGUUAAUCGGAAUUACUGGGCGUAAAGCGUGCGUAGUCGGUUAUCUAAGUCGGGUGUGAAAUCCCCGGGCUCAACCUGGGAAUUGCAUUCGAUACUGGAUAGCUAGAGUUCGGCAGAGGGAAGCGGAAUUUCGGGUGUAGCGGUGAAAUGCGUAGAUAUCCGAAGGAACAUCAGUGGCGAAAGCGGCUUCCUGGACCAGAACUGACGAUCAGGCACGAAAGCGUGGGGAGCAAACAGG